RNAcentral lists this ribosomal RNA (406 nucleotides) under uncultured bacterium. RNAcentral's name for it is "partial 16S ribosomal RNA". It matches the Rfam family "Bacterial small subunit ribosomal RNA", at positions 30 to 526 of the family's 1533-position model. The record is from RNAcentral.
AUUGAACGCUGGCGGCAGGCCUAACACAUGCAAGUCGAACGAGUGGCGGACGGGUGCGUAAUGUCUGGGAAACUGCCUGAUGGAGGGGGCUAACUACUGGAAACGGUAGCUAAUACCGCAUACCCUCGGAUGUGCCCAGAUGGGAUUCGCUAGUAGGUGGGGUAAAGGCUCACCUAGGCGACGAUCCCUCGCUGGUCUGAGAGGAUGACCAUCAACACUUGAACUGAGACACGGUCCAGAGUCCUACGGGAGGCAGCAGUGGGGAAUAUGGCACAAUGGGGGAAAGCCUGAUGCAGCCAUGGCGCGUGUAUGAAGAAGGCCUGCGGGUUGUAAAGUACUUUAAGAGGGGAGGCGUUACCCACAGAAGAAGCACCGGCUAACUCCGUGCCAGCAGCCGCGGUAAUAC